AUGAAUACUUAUGGUAAAAAAGAUAGGGAAAUUCUUGAUUAUUCAAUGUCGGAUCGAAUCAUGUCCAAUGGCCAUUGGAAUUUUAUCUAUCCUUCUAUUUUUCAAGAUAAUUCAGAUUUGUUGGCGAAAAAGCGAAGAAAUAGGUUCGUCAUUCCAUUACAAUAUCAUCAAGAACAAGAGAAAGAACUAAUAUCCUGUUUUGGGAUUUCGAUUGAAAUCCCCCUUAUGGGUGUUUUACGUAGAAAUACUAUUUUUGCUUAUUUUGACGAUCCCCGAUACAGAAAAGAUAAAAAGGGUUCAGGAAUUGUUAAAUUUAGAUAUAGGACCCUAGAAGAAGAAUAUAGGACUCGAGCGGAAGACUGA
Molecule: ribosomal RNA, 363 nt
Filed under: Triticum aestivum (bread wheat)
Lineage: Eukaryota; Viridiplantae; Streptophyta; Magnoliopsida; Poales; Poaceae
Description: partial small subunit ribosomal RNA
Source: RNAcentral